Molecule: non-coding RNA, 137 nt
Organism: Sclerotinia nivalis
Lineage: Eukaryota; Fungi; Ascomycota; Leotiomycetes; Helotiales; Sclerotiniaceae
Source: the annotation of a GenBank genome assembly
UCCGAAUUAGUGUAGUGGUUAACAUAACUUGAUUUCAUGAGGAUCGAAGCCUGGCAAAUUGAUUCAUUGGAUAUUCAAUGAACCGGACCAAGAUAUCUCAAUUCGAGUAGCCCCAGGUUCGACUCCUGGAUUCGGAA